This 375-nucleotide ribosomal RNA is filed under the name uncultured organism. Its description in RNAcentral is "partial 16S ribosomal RNA". It matches the Rfam family "Bacterial small subunit ribosomal RNA", at positions 527 to 897 of the family's 1533-position model. The record is from RNAcentral.
GUAGGUGGCAAGCGUUGUCCGGAAUUAUUGGGCGUAAAGCGCGCGCAGGCGGUCCUUUAAGUCUGAUGUGGGAAGCCCACGGGCUCAACCGUGGAGGGUCAUUGGAAACUGGGGGACUUGAGUACAGAAGAGGAAAGCGGAAUUCCAAGUGUAGCGGUGAAAUGCGUAGAGAUUUGGAGGAACACCAGUGGCGAAGGCGGCUUUCUGGUCUGUAACUGACGCUGAGGCGCGAAAGCGUGGGGAGCAAACAGGAUUAGAUACCCUGGUAGUCCACGCCGUAAACGAUGAGUGCUAAGUGUUAGGGGGUUUCCGCCCCUUAGUGCUGCAGCUAACGCAUUAAGCACUCCGCCUGGGGAGUACGGCCGCAAAGGCUGA